UGGGGAAUAUUGGACAAUGGGCGCAAGCCUGAUCCAGCGACGCCGCGUGUGGGAUGAAGGUCUUCGGAUUGUAAACCACUGUCGCGAGGGACGAAGCUCUGACGGUACCUCGAAAGGAAGCACCGGCUAACUCUGUGCCAGCAGCCGCGGUAAUACAGAGGGUGCGAGCGUUGUCCGGAAUCACUGGGCGUAAAGGGCGCGUAGGCGGCCCGGUAAGUAGGGGGUGAAAUCUCAUGGCUCAACUGUGAGGCUGCCUUCUAGACUGCCAGGCUUGAGCACAGUAGAGGCGAGUGGAAUUCCCGGUGUAGCGGUGGAAUGCGUAGAGAUCGGGAAGAACAUCGGUGGCGAAGGCGGCUCGCUGGGCUGUUGCUGACGCUGAGGCGCGAAAGCGUGGGGAGCAAACAGGAUUAGAUACCCAAGUAGUCCCUGAGCGGGCUGGCAAGGCGCAU
Molecule: ribosomal RNA, 449 nt
Filed under: uncultured bacterium
Lineage: Bacteria
Description: bacterial SSU rRNA
Rfam family: Bacterial small subunit ribosomal RNA
Source: RNAcentral